RNAcentral lists this transfer RNA (74 nucleotides) under Chitinivibrionales bacterium. RNAcentral describes it as "tRNA-Pro". It matches the Rfam family "tRNA". Rfam says of the family: Transfer RNA (tRNA) molecules are approximately 80 nucleotides in length. Their secondary structure includes four short double-helical elements and three loops (D, anti-codon, and T loops). The record is from RNAcentral. Lineage: Bacteria; Pseudomonadati; Fibrobacterota; Chitinivibrionia; Chitinivibrionales.
CGGGGUGUAGCGCAGUCUGGCAGCGCACUUGGUUUGGGACCAAGUAGUCGGAGGUUCAAAUCCUCUCACCCCGA